RNAcentral lists this ribosomal RNA (463 nucleotides) under uncultured organism. RNAcentral's name for it is "bacterial SSU rRNA". It matches the Rfam family "Bacterial small subunit ribosomal RNA", at positions 28 to 507 of the family's 1533-position model. The record is from RNAcentral.
GACAAACGCUGGCGGCGUGCCUAACACAUGCAAGUCGAACGAAGUAUGUUUUUCGGAAUAUACUUAGUGGCGGACGGGUGAGUAACGCGUGAAUAAUCUGCCCCAUACAAAGGAAUAGCCUCGGGAAACCGGGAAUAAAACCAUAUGACACUUAAGAGCCGCAUGGAACUUAAGUCAAAUCGGUAGAGGUAUGGGAUGAGUUCGCGUCUGAUUAGUUAGUUGGCGGGGUAAAAGCCCACCAAGGCGACGAUCAGUAGCCGGCCUGAGAGGGUGAACGGCCACAUUGGAACUGAGAGACGGUCCAAACUCCUACGGGAGGCAGCAGUGGGGAAUAUUGCACAAUGGAGGGAACUCUGAUGCAGCGACGCCGUGUGAGUGAAGAAGGUCUUCGGAUCGUAAAACUCUGUCCUUGGUGACGAAAGAAAUGACGGUAGCCAAGGAGGAAGCCCCGGCUAACUACGUG